ACCUGAGAGGGUAAUCGGCCACAUUGGGACUGAGACACGGCCCAGACUCCUACGGGAGGCAGCAGUAGGGAAUCUUCCACAAUGGACGCAAGUCUGAUGGAGCAACGCCGCGUGAGUGAAGAAGGGUUUCGGCUCGUAAAGCUCUGUUGUUAAAGAAGAACGUGGGUAAGAGUAACUGUUUACCCAGUGACGGUAUUUAACCAGAAAGCCACGGCUAACUACGUGCCAGCAGCCGCGGUAAUACGUAGGUGGCAAGCGUUAUCCGGAUUUAUUGGGCGUAAAGCGAGCGCAGGCGGUCUUUUAAGUCUAAUGUGAAAGCCUUCGGCUCAACCGAAGAAGUGCAUUGGAAACUGGGAGACUUGAGUGCAGAAGAGGACAGUGGAACUCCAUGUGUAGCGGUGAAAUGCGUAGAUAUAUGGAAGAACACCAGUGGCGAAGGCGGCUGUCUGGUCUGCAACUGACGCUGAGGCUCGAAAGCAUGGGUAGCGAACAGGAUUAGAUACCCUGGUAGUCCAUGCCGUAAACGAUGAUUACUAAGUGUUGGAGGGUUUCCGCCCUUCAGUGCUGCAGCUAACGCAUUAAGUAAUCCGCCUGGGGAGUACGACCGCAAGGUUGAAACUCAAAAGAAUUGACGGGGGCCCGCACAAGCGGUGGAGCAUGUGGUUUAAUUCGAAGCUACGCGAAGAACCUUACCAGGUCUUGACAUCUUCUGACAGUCUAAGAGAUUAGAGGUUCCCUUCGGGGACAGAAUGACAGGUGGUGCAUGGUUGUCGUCAGCUCGUGUCGUGAGAUGUUGGGUUAAGUCCCGCAACGAGCGCAACCCUUAUUACUAGUUGCCAGCAUUAAGUUGGGCACUCUAGUGAGACUGCCGGUGACAAACCGGAGGAAGGUGGGGACGACG
Molecule: ribosomal RNA, 901 nt
Filed under: Pediococcus pentosaceus
Lineage: Bacteria; Bacillati; Bacillota; Bacilli; Lactobacillales; Lactobacillaceae
Description: bacterial SSU rRNA
Rfam family: Bacterial small subunit ribosomal RNA
Source: RNAcentral